CGGCGGACGGGUGAGUAACGCGUGGGUAACCUGCCUCAUACAGGGGGAUAACAGUUGGAAACGGCUGCUAAUACCGCAUAAGCGCACAGCACCGCAUGGUACGGUGUGAAAAACUCCGGUGGUAUGAGAUGGACCCGCGUCUGAUUAGCUAGUUGGUGGGGUAACGGCCUACCAAGGCGACGAUCAGUAGCCGGCCUGAGAGGGUGAACGGCCACAUUGGGACUGAGACACGGCCCAA
This 238-nucleotide ribosomal RNA is filed under the name uncultured bacterium. Its description in RNAcentral is "partial 16S ribosomal RNA". It matches the Rfam family "Bacterial small subunit ribosomal RNA", at positions 96 to 334 of the family's 1533-position model. The record is from RNAcentral.